UAGAGUUUGAUCAUGGCUCAGGAUGAACGCUAGCGACAGGCUUAACACAUGCAAGUCGAGGGGCAGCGGGGAGGUAGCAAUACUGCCGCCGGCGACCGGCGCACGGGUGAGUAACGCGUAUGCGACCUGCCCGUUGCAGGGGGAUAAUCGGGAGAAAUCCCGUCUAAUACCGCGUAAUGCCGCGGGGCUGCAUGGCCCUGCGGCCAAAGGGAGCGAUUCCGGCAACGGAUGGGCAUGCGUGACAUUAGCUAGUUGGCGGGGCAACGGCCCACCAAGGCGACGAUGUCUAGGGGUUCUGAGAGGAAGGUCCCCCACACUGGUACUGAGACACGGACCAGACUCCUACGGGAGGCAGCAGUGAGGAAUAUUGGUCAAUGGGCGCGAGCCUGAACCAGCCAAGUCGCGUGAGGGAUGACGGCCCUACGGGUUGUAAACCUCUUUUGUCGGGGAGCAAAUUCCGCCACGUGUGGCGGAGUCGAGAGUACCCGAAGAAAAAGCAUCGGCUAACUCCGUGCCAGCAGCCGCGGUAAUACGGAGGAUGCGAGCGUUAUCCGGAUUUAUUGGGUUUAAAGGGUGCGUAGGCGGACUGUCAAGUCAGCGGUAAAAUACGGGGGCUCAACCUCCGCCCGCCGUUGAAACUGACGGUCUUGAGUGGGCGAGAAGUAUGCGGAAUGCGUGGUGUAGCGGUGAAAUGCAUAGAUAUCACGCAGAACUCCGAUUGCGAAGGCAGCAUACCGGCGCCCAACUGACGCUGAAGCACGAAAGCGUGGGUAUCGAACAGGAUUAGAUACCCUGGUAGUCCACGCAGUAAACGAUGAAUACUAGCUGUCCGGGGCGAAUGAGCCCUGGGUGGCACAGCGAAAGCGUUAAGUAUUCCACCUGGGGAGUACGCCGGCAACGGUGAAACUCAAAGGAAUUGACGGGGGCCCGCACAAGCGGAGGAACAUGUGGUUUAAUUCGAUGAUACGCGAGGAACCUUACCCGGGCUCAAACGACACAGGAACGUACCUGAAAGGGUUCGGCUCUACGGAGCCUGUGUCGAGGUGCUGCAUGGUUGUCGUCAGCUCGUGCCGUGAGGUGUCGGCUUAAGUGCCAUAACGAGCGCAACCCCCAUCGACAGUUGCUAACAGGUCAGGCUGAGGACUCUGUCGAGACUGCCGGCGCAAGCUGCGAGGAAGGCGGGGAUGACGUCAAAUCAGCACGGCCCUUACGUCCGGGGCGACACACGUGUUACAAUGGCAGGUACAGCGGGAAGCCACCUGGCGACAGGGAGCGGAACCCGAAAGCCUGUCUCAGUUCGGAUUGGAGUCUGCAACCCGACUCCAUGAAGCUGGAUUCGCUAGUAAUCGCGCAUCAGCCACGGCGCGGUGAAUACGUUCCCGGGCCUUGUACACACCGCCCGUCAAGCCAUGGAAGCCGGGGGUGCCUGAAGUGCGCUGCCGCGAGGAGCGCCCUAGGGUAAAACCGGUGACUGGGGCUAAGUCGUAACAAGGUAGCC
RNAcentral lists this ribosomal RNA (1498 nucleotides) under uncultured bacterium. Its description in RNAcentral is "16S ribosomal RNA". It matches the Rfam family "Bacterial small subunit ribosomal RNA". The record is from RNAcentral.